Molecule: ribosomal RNA, 306 nt
Filed under: uncultured bacterium
Lineage: Bacteria
Also listed under: 1 other name
Description: bacterial SSU rRNA
Rfam family: Bacterial small subunit ribosomal RNA
Source: RNAcentral
AUUGAACGCUGGCGGCAUGCCUUACACAUGCAAGUCGAACGGCAGCACGGGUGCUUGCACCUGGUGGCGAGUGGCGAACGGGUGAGUAGUGCAUCGGAACGUACCCAGUAGUGGGGGAUAACUACCCGAAAGGGUGGCUAAUACCGCAUAUACUGUGCGCAGGAAAGCAGGGGACCGUUUGGCCUUGUGCUACUGGAGCGGCCGAUGUCAGAUUAGCUAGUUGGUGGGGUAAAGGCCUACCAAGGCGACGAUCUGUAGCGGGUCUGAGAGGAUGAUCCGCCACACUGGGACUGAGACACGGCCCAG